This is a non-coding RNA of Erythranthe guttata (spotted monkey flower), 395 nucleotides long. The record is from RefSeq and is a predicted model, not a curated record. NCBI's taxonomy places the organism in Eukaryota, Viridiplantae, Streptophyta, Magnoliopsida, Lamiales, Phrymaceae.
AAUUUAAAUUAGCUUUUGGGUAGAUUAUGCUGGAUAAAAAGUAACCUUUUUAAAUUUUAAUCCACGAAAAACAACAAUAUCAAAAAUAUAUGUUUUCUUUUUUCGAACACAACCACGCUUAAUUUAUUUCUUAAAAAACAUGAGAUUAUAUGGUAAAGAUUCUUGUGGGAAAUAGUAGAGUUGAUUUUGUGAAAUUUCUAAUUAGUUUAGUGGUGGACAAUUUAUAAAUUUGUAAAAAAGGAAAAAUAGAUAAAAUAGAAAAAUAUAUUAAUUUAGUAGCGAACUAAGAUAUUUUGAGGGUGGAAAUAGCAAGUCUAAGAAUAUUAGCAAUAAACCCCUCAACUUAAGUUGUUGCUCCCGUGAACUUCUAUAUUCCGCGACUCCGGCCAACAUAC